AGUAGCUCAGGGGUAGAGCGAUCGGCUGUUAACCGAUUUGUCGUAGGUUCAAAUCCUACCU
RNAcentral lists this transfer RNA (61 nucleotides) under Phaeocystis globosa. It matches the Rfam family "tRNA", at positions 6 to 65 of the family's 71-position model. From Rfam's summary of the family: Transfer RNA (tRNA) molecules are approximately 80 nucleotides in length. Their secondary structure includes four short double-helical elements and three loops (D, anti-codon, and T loops). Further hydrogen bonds mediate the characteristic L-shaped molecular structure. tRNAs have two regions of fundamental functional importance: the anti-codon, which is responsible for specific mRNA codon recognition, and the 3' end, to which the tRNAs corresponding amino acid is attached (by aminoacyl-tRNA synthetases). tRNAs cope with the degeneracy of the genetic code in two manners: having more than one tRNA (with a specific anti-codon) for a particular amino acid; and 'wobble' base-pairing, i.e. permitting non-standard base-pairing at the 3rd anti-codon position. RNAcentral also lists the same sequence under 4 other names. Lineage: Eukaryota; Haptophyta; Phaeocystales; Phaeocystaceae. The record is from RNAcentral.